CAAACUUCAGAAGCCUUUUUUAAACCUUUUAAUAGACUACACGUUUGCAUUUCCUGCUUUGCAGUUUUUUGACCUGCAACAACCGGGUGAUCAAAUGGCAAGCGACGGGUCCUUAGGAUGAAGAUGCAGUUGAACCAACUGACAGUAAGCACUUGGAGCCCCUGGAUGAUAUAUCUACCCUGAGGAAGACAAGGGAUGUAUGUGCCUUCCCCCACACUUUAACCCUUCCACACACAUUGGCCCCUAACCCUUGAUUUUUAUCUGUAGUAUAAAACUUGUCUCCCCGUCUUGCAUCAGGGAAUUGUCUGUGUAUAUGUUCUGAUAAUGCCUGCUUUAUGGAAACAAACAUCUGAUAUAUUAUUCUAAUGUACUCCACCUGUUCCAAGAAGAGGUACAUCUUCCGAUUGUAUCACAUCGGAGCCGUUUAGAAAUGGUCCAUCUAUAUAGGCUUUACAACCGAACAUGUGACACUGCAGAUAGUCAGUCAUAUAGUACAAUACAUUACUCUUCUCAACUUUUUAGAUGCGCACAGUCACAAAACACCUGGGAGUUUACUACUGGUUCAUCUGCACAACCUUUAAAAGGAUUUCUCUCAAUGGGAGUUCUAUUUUCUUAGUUUUCAAUAUGGUUACAGCUGUGAAGGCUAAGGAUACUCUCACAGCAUCGUAUGUCAUAGAUUACUUCACCCAAGAAACCUCACACUAGACUCACUCCAAUGGUGUUUUAUGAUUUUCACCAUCCAAGGCAGUACUACACAUCUGAUGCUCAGCCAGCAAUUGCCUCAUGUCCGGGUAGGAAUGCGACCAGCAUUCUUUAACUAUCCUCAUGUUUUAACUCUUUGGGCUGAUUCCAAUGUGAACAUCACAAGUAUUUAACUCUCAAAGGGAAUUUGAUCAGACUGCUUUUGGAAAUCACUCUAUUUCUGAGUCACUGACUUGUUUUUGGGAGACCAGUAUUAAUUAGGUUAUCUUACCACCUCAGUAUUCCUCCAGCUUGUGAUCCACAGACCUUUUAUUAAUGCAGUGUUACAGUUGAACAAACCUUCUCAGUUGCAUGCCAGACAUGUGAUUCAUAUUGGGAAAUGAGCAUGAUAACGAAUGAGUCAGGUUUUUACAGUCGGUGAUGUCUCUUCAAGCUAGACUCCAUUGCGUAGUCCAUGAUGUCGCUCUUCAAGAUUUCAUAAGGCAGACAUUUUCAUCUCUCUUUUUACUUUCUCCCUCCCCCUCUGUUGUAGAGCCUUUCUCUGCUCAGCACCAUGGCUAUAGAGUACACAGCUGUUAGAUAGUCCAUUUAUUUAAGUGACCCUCUAUAGCUUAUUGUGGUGAAAAGCUGUAUCUGAAAUAGGAAUGCCAUGAUUUGAGUGUAUAGCAUGUUUUCUUAGGCUGGUAUAAACAGUUGAGUGUUGUGCUUGUUAUCAUAUGAAAGUAGAAGUUUUUUUACUCUGCAGUCAGGCUUGUGUGGUGGCAUACGUUAAUUCAGCGCUUGAUAUGGCUCACUAAGUGUUUGUAAAGUUUUUUUCUGCUUUUCAAAUUAGAUGACUUACUAGUUAGUUUAGAUUCAUAAAUACAUGUUCAUAACUUUGUCAGAACCAGUUAAAAUAAUCUGCAGGCCAUACAAGGCUUUCACUGUAGACAUACUCUACAUAUUUGUUGUAGGACUAGUUUCCUCACAUAUAUUUUAUUUUUGCUGUGUUAGGCAUAUUUGAAACGGUACCGAGACCGUUGAUAAGAAGUGAAUGUAGGAUAAUUCCUAAUUAAAGAGUGGGAUAAUUCAGUGUGUCUGUCCUAAUGUUUGCAGGCAGGUUUGAAUGGGCUAUAUAGUGGCUUGUCAUGUGAGUGGAUGGCUUCACGCUGUGCAUCUGGCCUAGCAUGGGCUACAAACUGUGACUAUUUGAAACAUUGC
This 1902-nucleotide long non-coding RNA is filed under the name Salmo salar (Atlantic salmon). Its description in RNAcentral is "lncRNA (ENSSSAG00000110470.1)". Lineage: Eukaryota; Metazoa; Chordata; Actinopteri; Salmoniformes; Salmonidae. The record is from RNAcentral.